AGAAGGGAGCUCUGCUCCCGCGAUGUUAGCGGCGGACGGGUGAGUAACACGUGGGUAACCUGCCUGUAAGACUGGGAUAACUCCGGGAAACCGGAGCUAAUACCGGAUAGUUCCUUGAACCGCAUGGUUCAAGGAUGAAAGACGGUUUCGGCUGUCACUUACAGAUGGACCCGCGGCGCAUUAGCUAGUUGGUGGGGUAAUGGCUCACCAAGGCGACGAUGCGUAGCCGACCUGAGAGGGUGAUCGGCCACACUGGGACUGAGACACGGCCCAGACUCCUACGGGAGGCAGCAGUAGGGAAUCUUCCGCAAUGGACGAAAGUCUGACGGAGCAACGCCGCGUGAGUGAUGAAGGUUUUCGGAUCGUAAAGCUCUGUUGUUAGGGAAGAACAAGUGCGAGAGUAACUGCUCGCACCUUGACGGUACCUAACCAGAAAGCCACGGCUAACUACGUGCCAGCAGCCGCGGUAAUACGUAGGUGGCAAGCGUUGUCCGGAAUUAUUGGGCGUAAAGGGCUCGCAGGCGGUUUCUUAAGUCUGAUGUGAAAGCCCCCGGCUCAACCGGGGAGGGUCAUUGGAAACUGGGAAACUUGAGUGCAGAAGAGGAGAGUGGAAUUCCACGUGUAGCGGUGAAAUGCGUAGAGAUGUGGAGGAAC
Molecule: ribosomal RNA, 654 nt
Filed under: Bacillus sp. (in: firmicutes)
Lineage: Bacteria; Bacillati; Bacillota; Bacilli; Caryophanales; Bacillaceae
Description: bacterial SSU rRNA
Rfam family: Bacterial small subunit ribosomal RNA
Source: RNAcentral